CGGGAGGCAGCACCAGUGAGGAAUAUUGCGCAAUGGGGGGAACCCUGACGCAGCAACGCCGCGUGAGUGAUGAAGGCUUUCGGGUCGUAAAGCUCUGUCAAGUGGGAAGAACCUAUGCAGUGUUAAUAUCACUGUAUACUGACGGUACCACUGAAGGAAGCACCGGCUAACUCCGUGCCAGCAGCCGCGGUAAUACGGGGGGUGCAAGCGUUAUUCGGAAUCAUUGGGCGUAAAGGGCACGUAGGCGGCUUGGUAAGUCAGAUGUGAAAGCCCGGGGCUUAACCCCGGAAGUGCAUUUGAUACUGUCAGGCUUGAGUAUGGGAGAGGGAAGUGGAAUUCCUGGUGUAGAGGUGAAAUUCGUAGAUAUCAGGAGGAACACCGGUGGCGAAGGCGACUUCCUGGACCAAUACUGACGCUGAGGUGCGAAGGCGUGGGUAGCAAACAGGAUUAGAUACCCCCGUAGUC
This 465-nucleotide ribosomal RNA is filed under the name uncultured bacterium. Its description in RNAcentral is "partial 16S ribosomal RNA". It matches the Rfam family "Bacterial small subunit ribosomal RNA", at positions 342 to 795 of the family's 1533-position model. The record is from RNAcentral.